CACGUAGGCGGUUUUUUAAGUCAGAUGUGAAAGCCCGGGGCUUAACCCCGGAAGUGCAUUUGAUACUGGAAAACUUGAGUAUGGGAGAGGGAAGUGGAAUUCCUGGUGUAGAGGUGAAAUUCGUAGAUAUCAGGAGGAACACCGGUGGCGAAGGCGACUUCCUGGACCAAUACUGACGCUGAGGUGCGAAGGCGUGGGGGGCGAACAGGAUUAGAUACCCUGGUAGUCC
This 229-nucleotide ribosomal RNA is filed under the name uncultured bacterium. RNAcentral's name for it is "partial 16S ribosomal RNA". It matches the Rfam family "Bacterial small subunit ribosomal RNA", at positions 568 to 796 of the family's 1533-position model. The record is from RNAcentral.